UGAGGAACAUGACCUUCGGCGGGGGAUAGCCGGCCCAACGGCCGGGUAAUACCGCGUACGACCACAUGGGGACAUCCCUGAGUGGUGAAAGCAGCAAUGCGCCGAUGGAGUGCCUCGCGGCCUAUCAGCUAGUUGGUGAGGUAACGGCUCACCAAGGCAACGACGGGUAGCUGGUCUGAGGAGGAUGGCCAGCCACAUCGGGACUGAGACACGGCCCAGACCUGUACGGGAGG
RNAcentral lists this ribosomal RNA (233 nucleotides) under uncultured bacterium. RNAcentral describes it as "partial 16S ribosomal RNA". It matches the Rfam family "Bacterial small subunit ribosomal RNA", at positions 118 to 347 of the family's 1533-position model. The record is from RNAcentral.